This 257-nucleotide ribosomal RNA is filed under the name uncultured bacterium. Its description in RNAcentral is "partial 16S ribosomal RNA". It matches the Rfam family "Bacterial small subunit ribosomal RNA", at positions 524 to 776 of the family's 1533-position model. The record is from RNAcentral.
UACAGAGACCUCAAGCGUUAUCCGGAAUCAUUGGGCGUAAAGCGUACCGAUAGGUGGUUUAGAAAGUCAUAUGUGAAAUUCCAAGGCUCAACCUUGGGACUGUCAUUUGAAACUUCUAAACUAGAGGGGCAAAGAGGAAGCUGGAACGAACGGUGUAGUAGUGAAAUGCGUUGAUAUCGUUCGGAACACCAAUAGCGAAGGCAGGCUUCUGGGUGCCACCUGACACUGCUAGGACGAAAGCGUGGGGAGCGAAUGGG